Molecule: long non-coding RNA, 233 nt
Organism: Cyprinus carpio (common carp)
Lineage: Eukaryota; Metazoa; Chordata; Actinopteri; Cypriniformes; Cyprinidae
Exons: 3
Source: RefSeq, a predicted model, not a curated record
AAGCAGGAACAUCGUCCUCUGAUGCUGAAUGUGAGAAGUGACUUCGGUUGGUCUUAUAGUUGUAGUCACAAUUACACUUCUUGUAGCUGUUGUGGCUGUGGCUGCUGUUAAAUUAGCAUGCAUCAGAAAACAUAAAGCAAGGCGCUCUAAGAAACCAGGUUUCUGUCGCACCCCACAACAAGCAACUGAGGAUGAUGAAUCGAAAUGGCAGUCCUCAGCUGGACCUACUUUGA